This is a non-coding RNA of Rattus norvegicus (Norway rat), 57 nucleotides long. Lineage: Eukaryota; Metazoa; Chordata; Mammalia; Rodentia; Muridae. The record is from Rfam.
UGGCUCAGUGGUAGAGCGCUUGCCUAGCAAGCACAAGGCCCUGGGUUCGGUCCCCAG